Molecule: ribosomal RNA, 253 nt
Filed under: uncultured bacterium
Lineage: Bacteria
Description: partial 16S ribosomal RNA
Rfam family: Bacterial small subunit ribosomal RNA
Source: RNAcentral
UACAGAGGUCUCAAGCGUUGUUCGGAUUCAUUGGGCGUAAAGGGCGCGUAGGCGGCGGGGUAAGUCGGGUGUGAAAUCUCAGAGCUCAACUCUGAAAUGGCACUUGAUACUGCUCUGCUAGAGGACUGGAGAGGAGAUUGGAAUUCACGGUGUAGCAGUGAAAUGCGUAGAUAUCUGGAGGAACACCGGUGGCGAAGGCGGCGUCCUGGACCAACACUGACACUGAGGAGCGAAAGCCAGGGGAGCAAACGGG